AUUGAACGCUGGCGGCAGGCCUAACACAUGCAAGUCGAACGGUAACAGGAAGAAGCUUGCUUCUUUGCUGACGAGUGGCGGACGGGUGAGUAAUGUCUGGGAAACUGCCUGAUGGAGGGGGAUAACUACUGGAAACGGUAGCUAAUAUCGCAUAACGUCGCAAGACCAAAGAGGGGGACCUUCGGGCCUCUUGCCAUCGGAUGUGCCCAGAUGGGAUUAGCUAGUAGGUGGGGUAACGGCUCACCUAGGCGACGAUCCCUAGCUGGUCUGAGAGGAUGACCAGCCACAUUGGAACUGAGACACGGUCCAGACUCCUACGGGAGGCAGCAGUGGGGAAUAUUGCACAAUGGGCGCAAGCCUGAUGCAGCCAUGCCGCGUGUAUGAAGAAGGCCUUCGGGUUGUAAAGUACUUUCAGCGGGGAGGAAGGGAGUAAAGUUAAUACCUUUGCUCAUUGACGUUACCCGCAGAAGAAGCACCGGCUAACUCCGUG
Molecule: ribosomal RNA, 490 nt
Filed under: uncultured bacterium
Lineage: Bacteria
Description: partial 16S ribosomal RNA
Rfam family: Bacterial small subunit ribosomal RNA
Source: RNAcentral